AAGUGUUCCUCCUCCUCUUAAAUGAUUGAUAAUUUCCAUGUUUACUUAAAACUUUUGCAGCACUUCCGUACAACUCUUAGAUGUCUGAAGUUCUGGGCCAAAAGACGUUGUGUUUAUUCCAAUGUUACUGGAUUUCUUGGUGGGGUGAAUUGGGCUCUUUUGGUUGCUCGCAUUUGCCAGUUUUACCCAAAUGCAAUCCCUAGUAUGCUUGUUUCUAGGUUCUUCCGUGUUUAUACACAAUGGCGUUGGCCA
This 252-nucleotide unclassified non-coding RNA is filed under the name Hevea brasiliensis (rubber tree). Lineage: Eukaryota; Viridiplantae; Streptophyta; Magnoliopsida; Malpighiales; Euphorbiaceae. The record is from RNAcentral.